RNAcentral lists this ribosomal RNA (468 nucleotides) under uncultured bacterium. Its description in RNAcentral is "partial 16S ribosomal RNA". It matches the Rfam family "Bacterial small subunit ribosomal RNA", at positions 28 to 507 of the family's 1533-position model. The record is from RNAcentral.
GACGAACGCUGGCGGCGUGCUUAACACAUGCAAGUCGAACGGAAAGGCCCUGCUUUUGUGGGGUGCUCGAGUGGCGAACGGGUGAGUAACACGUGAGUAACCUGCCCUUGACUUUGGGAUAACUUCAGGAAACUGGGGCUAAUACCGGAUAGGAGCUCCUGCUGCAUGGUGGGGGUUGGAAAGUUUCGGCGGUUGGGGAUGGACUCGCGGCUUAUCAGCUUGUUGGUGGGGUAGUGGCUUACCAAGGCUUUGACGGGUAGCCGGCCUGAGAAGGUGACCGGCCACAUUGGGACUGAGAUGCGGCCCAGACUCCUACGGGAGGCAGCAGUGGGGAAUAUUGCACAAUGGGCGGAAGCCUGAUGCAGCAACGCCGCGUGCGGGAUGACGGCCUUCGGGUUGUAAACCGCUUUCGCCUGUGACGAAGCGUGAGUGACGGUAAUGGGUAAAGAAGCACCGGCUAACUACGUG